Pecten maximus is the source of this 1041-nucleotide long non-coding RNA. RefSeq lists it as uncharacterized. The transcript has 4 exons. The record is from RefSeq and is a predicted model, not a curated record. NCBI's taxonomy places the organism in Eukaryota, Metazoa, Mollusca, Bivalvia, Pectinida, Pectinidae.
GUCGGAGUUGUCUCCCCUGGACAUGCAUUUUCUGCUCUGAAGAUCAGUGAUGAAACGUCCAACGCACGUGUCUUUUACCUGCAUGGGACGGGAGGUUACUGUCAAUAAAGAUGUGAAAAAGGUCAAGGACAGGCUACCUAUAUCUAUAGGUAGGAAUCUUCAUUGUCCAAUAAUGGAAGAUUCCAUCUAGAGUCAUGGGGAUGGCAGGCUCUGUAACCUCUUUAAUGGACACCCAAAGGAACCUGACUUACCUAAGGACGAAGGAUGGACCCAGUCCAGUUCUGGACAGGAACUUUUUUCAGGAACCUCAGCGAGUGCAUGAUCACCUGGUCUUUGAACCUUGAGAUGGGAACCAUGGUCUUGAAGACAGGUGCUCAGAUGGGUGGGGAUCACAGAUGUUCACCUUUCGGACACGGAUCCUUGAAACUACGUAUUCCAUAUCUGAUGAAUACAUUUACACGCUCGUUAAAAUUCCAGGUAGAUCAACGAGGGAUGCUCACAGCUUCCUGUCGCUGACAAUUGUCACAGCAGUCACAAUGAUCCUGACGUACACACGCCUUACCACGGCCGUCCGGGUCAGGGGUUGAGGUCAGACACGUUGAGUGGGCACUUGACCAGCACACAGUCAGAGAAAUGAAUUUAUAUGGUGUUUUGAUAGAUUUAUUUGUGUUUGUUUAGAAUCGGGCUACCUGUCUGUAGUCGACACUUACUGGCCCUUGUAACUGGACAGACCGCAAUGAUGAGUGUGGGAAAUGAAGAAUUAAAAUCUUUAUCUCUUUGAACAUUGAUAAGGUAGAGUAAUUGUCAAAACAUCCUGUGUCACCUACAGGUGUAGAAAUCUAAGUCAGUCAGGCUCUUGGUAUUGAUAGGCUUGCUGACAUAAUGCUAUUGUCAAUUACAGGGUCCAGGAAUGCCCUCGAAUCGCCUCUUAUUUGGCCAUGACGAUACAAUUUCAUUGUGUAUUCGUAAACUUUAUAUCACUGACCAUAUUUACACAUUGGAUGGAGAUGACCAUUAUAAUAUUAAACAAAAGAUAAAUCA